UACGGAGGGUCCGAGCGUUAAUCGGAAUUACUGGGCGUAAAGCGCACGCAGGCGGUUAAUUAAGUCAGAUGUGAAAGCCCAGGGCUCAACCUUGGAAUUGCAUUUGAAACUGGUUGACUAGAGUCUUGGAGAGGGGAGUGGAAUUUCUGGUGUAGCGGUGAAAUGCGUAGAUAUCAGAAGGAACAUCAGUGGCGAAGGCG
This 200-nucleotide ribosomal RNA is filed under the name uncultured bacterium. RNAcentral's name for it is "partial 16S ribosomal RNA". It matches the Rfam family "Bacterial small subunit ribosomal RNA", at positions 524 to 723 of the family's 1533-position model. The record is from RNAcentral.